AGAAAGAUCUGGUUGAUCCUGCCGGAGGUUACUGCUAUCGAGGUUCGACUAAGCCAUGCGAGUCGAAUGUAGCAAUACAUGGCGUACUGCUCAGUAACACGUGGAUAACCUGCCCUUAGGACGGGGAUAAACCCGGGAAACUGGGUAUAAUACCCGAUAGAUCUCGAUUGCUGGAAUGCAUCGAGUUCUAAAGUUCCGGCGCCUAAGGAUGGAUCUGCGGCCUAUCAGGUAGUAGUGGGUGUAGCGUACCUACUAGCCUACGACGGGUACGGGUUGUGAGAGCAAGAGCCCGGAGAUGGAUUCUGAGACACGAGUCCAGGCCCUAUGGGGCGCAGCAGGCGCGAAACCUCCACAAUGAGCGAAAGCUUGAUGGGGUUACUCCGAGUGUCGUCCGCUAAGGAUGACUUUUCUUAAGUCUAAAUAGCUUGAGGAAUAAGGGGAGGGCAAGUCUGGUGUCAGCCGCCGCGGUAAUACCAGCUCCCCGAGUGGUCGGGACGGUUAUUUGGCCUAAAGCAUCCGUAGCCCGUCCUGCAAGUCUUCCGUUAAAUCUAACGGCUCAACCGUUAGGCUGCGAAAGAUACCGCAGGACUAGGGGACGGGAGAGGCGGACGGUACUCCGGGGGUAGGGGUAAAAUCCUCUGAUCCUCGGAAGACCACCAGCGGCGAAGGCGGUCCGCCAGAACGUGCCCGACGGUGAGGGAUGAAAGCUGGGGGAGCGAACCGGAUUAGAUACCCGGGUAGUCCCAGCCGUAAACGAUGCGAGCUAGGUGACAGAAUGGCCUAAGGGCCAUUCUGCUGCCGCAGGGAAGCCGUUAAGCUCGCCGCCUGGGGAGUACGGACGCAAGUCUGAAACUUAAAGGA
This 861-nucleotide ribosomal RNA is filed under the name uncultured archaeon. Its description in RNAcentral is "bacterial SSU rRNA". It matches the Rfam family "Archaeal small subunit ribosomal RNA", at positions 1 to 863 of the family's 1478-position model. The record is from RNAcentral.